RNAcentral lists this RNase P RNA (351 nucleotides) under bacterium. RNAcentral describes it as "RNase P RNA component class A". It matches the Rfam family "Bacterial RNase P class A". Rfam says of the family: Ribonuclease P (RNase P) is a ubiquitous endoribonuclease, found in archaea, bacteria and eukarya as well as chloroplasts and mitochondria. Its best characterised activity is the generation of mature 5'-ends of tRNAs by cleaving the 5'-leader elements of precursor-tRNAs. The record is from RNAcentral.
UAAAGCAGUCGGAUAAUCGCACUUAUGCAAAUAAGUGAGGAAAGUCCGGGCAUUCAAGGACAGAUUGCCGGAGAAACUCCGGGGCGUGUGAACGUGCGGAAUAGUGCCACAGAAAAGAUAACUGCCGAUGGCUUUGGGAAACUUUAGCACAGGCGAUGGUGCAACGGUGAGUUAAGAGCUUCACCAGCAGAUUUGAGAAAAUUUGGCUAGGUAAACCCCAAUCGAAUGCAAGAUUAAUUGAAGGCUAAGGUUGUCCGCUAUCUUCUAAAAAUCGCUAGAGAUUGUGAGUAAUUACAAUUCGAGACAGAUGAUUAUCUAAAACAGAACCCGGCUUAUGGAUUGCUUUAUUUU